AGCUCGCGGCUCUAUCACCUUCGUUGGGGGGGUGGAGGCCUACCAAGGCGUCGACGGGUAGCCGGCCUGAGAGGGUGGUCGGCCACACUGGGACUGAGAUACGGCCCAGACUCCUACGGGAGGCAGCAGUGGGGGAAUAUUUGCACAAUGGGCGCAAGCCUGAUGCAGCGACGCCGCGUGGGGGAUGGAGGCUUUCGGGUUUGUAAACCCCUUUCGGCGCGGGACAAGGCUCCGUUUGGCGGGGUUGAGGGUACGCGUCAAAGAAGCGCCGGCUAACUACGUGCCAGCAGCCGCGGUAAUACGUAGGGCGCGAGCGUUGUCCGGAAUUAUUGGGCGUAAAGGGCUCGUAGGCGGCUUGUCGCGUCUGCUGUGAAAACGCGGGGCUCAACUCCGCGCGUGCAGUGGGUACGGGCAGGCUGGAGUGCGGCAGGGGUGGCUGGAAUUCCUGGUGUAGCGGUGGAAUGCGCAGAUAUCAGGAAGAACACCGAUGGCGAAGGCAGGCCACUGGGCCGUCACUGACGCUGAGGAGCGAAAGCGUGGGGAGCGAACAGGAUUAGAUACCCUGGUAGUCCACGCUGUAAACGUUGGGAACUAGGUGUGGGGUCUGUUCCACGGAUUCUGCGCCGGAGCUAACGCGUUAAGUUCCCCGCCUGGGGAGUACGGCCGCAAGGCUAAAACUCAAAGGAAUUGACGGGGGCCCGCACAAGCGGCGGAGCAUGCGGAUUAAUUCGAUGCAACGCGAAGAACCUUACCAAGGCUUGACAUGUGCCGGGAGGGCGCGGAGACGCGUCUGCCUUCGGGCCGGUUCACAGGUGGUGCAUGGUUGUCGUCAGCUCGUGUCGUGAGAUGUUGGGUUAAGUCCCGCAACGAGCGCAACCCUUGUCCCGUGUUGCCAGCGCGUUGUGGCGGGGACUCACGGGGGACUGCCGGGGUCAACUCGGAGGAAGGUGGGGACGACGUCAAAUCAUCAUGCCCCUUAUGCCUUGGGCUUCACGCAUGCUACAAUGGCCGGUACAGAGGGUGGCGAUGCCGUGAGGCGGAGCGAAUCUCGUAAAGCCGGUCUCAGUUCGGAAUCGGGGUCUGCAAACUCGGGGCCCGUGAAAGCUUCGGAGUCGCUAGUAAUCGCAGAUUCAGCAAACGCUGCGGUGAAAUACGUUUCUCGGCC
RNAcentral lists this ribosomal RNA (1165 nucleotides) under uncultured bacterium. RNAcentral describes it as "bacterial SSU rRNA". It matches the Rfam family "Bacterial small subunit ribosomal RNA", at positions 228 to 1380 of the family's 1533-position model. The record is from RNAcentral.